AUGGUGGGGUUCAAAGCACAAGGGCCAGCCGCGUGGUCAGGGAGGGGAGCCCAGUAUCGAACUAGCAUUGAUACGCUUCUGCUAGAACAAACUGUGGGCCCAACACACCAGGAAGGAUGGAGGGUGAGGAAAAGGAAUGGGAAAGACGGAGUCAGCAGAGGAGAGGGAUGCUGGGGCCAUCUGGGAACACACAUCACCCACUGCUCCUGUGAUCCUCGAAGGCUUUCUGGGGUCAGGUUUAAUUUUCAGGCUCAACUAGCAACUCUAAGAGGAUCAAGGAAAACCUUUUUCCUUGUUUAUGAAGCAUUUAAUGGAAUCAUGUGAUUCAGCCUUUGAAAGGAAUGAACUUCUGAUACGAGCGACAACAUGGGUAUGGGGAUUCUAUAGGCAGAAGCUGGAUUUCCUAUUUCAAAAAUGCCCAUCAUUUGGACAAAUAACCCAAUCAGAUUGUAAAGAGACGUGUCCAAUGUCCCCUGAGGCUUUGGGGAGAGGGGCACAGAGAUAUGACUGAAGCUUCAACGUGUAACUAAAAGAAGACCAGAUGGACCAUUAUCACAUCACUCUGCAGUCAGAUAAUGUCUUCUGGCAGGAACUGCAGCUGCCUCUUGAAACGCCAAGAUGCUGGCGGGAGAGAUGGGUCCCCGUCCACUGAGGAAUCACCCCUUCCUGCUCAACUUUUUCAUUGUUCUUUCCCAAACUCCAUGCUUUUGUUUCAUUUUUUUUGCCAAGAAUUUUUAACUUUGUUAUCUUUUUCUAUAAAUGCUAGGCUAGUCACUUAAUGAAUCCCAAAGCCAGGUCAACACAGCCAAAUUAUUUAGAAUUAGCUUUAGAGAGUCACCUUCCAGUUUGGUAGGUCAGCUAGUAUUGUGUAUGCUUGCGCAUAUGAUAUUUUCAUUCAAAUCAUCUGUAUAUGUUUCAAAGCCAGCCCUCUGAGUACUAGGGGAUGAGCUAUUGUCAGAAGGAGCAAUGAUCAUUUACAAAUAAUCACCAUAUCCUGUUUGGAGAGAGUUUCCCAGCCAAGAGGCUGGAAGAGGCCUCUCCAGAGUGAAAUCUAAUCUGACUUUGAAACCUCAGCCAUCCAGCACAGUCUCUUUGUUAUUAUCAGCAAUUUAAAGCCUAGCUAUUCACUCCUCAGAAACAGACCUGUGAAACGGCUCUGUUCCCGCUUCUAAGAUUUAUAUACAAAAAACAAUGGAAACACGAAUCAUUAAAAAUUUUAUUUGACCCUAUCUAGUUGACCUAAUUUUUCUAUGAAUCAUACUUUAU
Molecule: long non-coding RNA, 1266 nt
Filed under: Capra hircus (goat)
Lineage: Eukaryota; Metazoa; Chordata; Mammalia; Artiodactyla; Bovidae
Description: lncRNA (ENSCHIG00000005962.1)
Source: RNAcentral